This 454-nucleotide ribosomal RNA is filed under the name eukaryote SCGC AAA074-O10. RNAcentral's name for it is "bacterial SSU rRNA". It matches the Rfam family "Bacterial small subunit ribosomal RNA", at positions 131 to 616 of the family's 1533-position model. The record is from RNAcentral.
UUUAGGAAGGGGAUAACAUUUAGAAAUAUUUGCUAAUACCCUAUAUGCUUCACAGUGAAAGAAUUUAUUCGCCUAAAGAGGAGCUUGCGUCUGAUUAGCUAGUUGGUAGGGUAAAGGCCUACCAAGGCGACGAUCAGUAGUUGGUCUGAGAGGACGGCCAGCCACAUUGGAACUGAGACACGGUCCAGACUCUUACGGGAGGCAGCAGUGAGGAAUUUUCUGCAAUGGGCGAAAGCCUGACAGAGCAAUACCGCGUGAGGGAUGACUGCCUACGGGUUGUAAACCUCUUUUCUCAAGGAGGAAGAUCUGACGUUACUUGAGGAAUAAGCAUCGGCUAACCCUGUGCCAGCAGCCGCGGUAAUACAGGGGAUGCAAGUGUUAUCCGGAAUUAUUGGGCGUAAAGCGUCUGCAGGUUGAUCUAUAAGUCUUUUGUCAAAUCUUUGGGCUUAACCCA